RNAcentral lists this ribosomal RNA (820 nucleotides) under uncultured Gemmatimonadota bacterium. RNAcentral describes it as "bacterial SSU rRNA". It matches the Rfam family "Bacterial small subunit ribosomal RNA", at positions 67 to 876 of the family's 1533-position model. Lineage: Bacteria; Pseudomonadati; Gemmatimonadota. The record is from RNAcentral.
GGGGGGUAGCAAUACCUCACCGGCGAACGGGUGCGUAACACGUGAGCAACCUACCGAUUUCUGGGGGAUAGCCGGCCCAACGGCCGGGUAAUACCGCAUACGUUCACCGAGAGGAGUCUCUUGGUGAAGAAACCUCCGGGGGAGCGCGAGGGGCUCGCGGCCUAUCAGCUAGUUGGUGCGGUCACGGCGCACCAAGGCGAUGACGGGUAGCUGGUCUGAGAGGAUGGCCAGCCACAUUGGGACUGAGAGACGGCCCAGACUCCUACGGGAGGCAGCAGUGGGGAAUCUUGCGCAAUGGCCGAAAGGCUGACGCAGCGACGCCGCGUGCGGGAGGAAGCUCUUCGGGGUGUAAACCGCUGUUGCCCGGAACGAACCUCAGCUUUCGAGCUGACUGACGGUACCGGGUGAGGAAGCGCCGGCUAACUCUGUGCCAGCAGCCGCGGUAAUACAGAGGGCGCGAGCGUUGUCCGGAAUCACUGGGCGUAAAGGGCGCGUAGGUGGCCACCAUAAGGCCGCGGUGAAAGUCUGGGGCUCAACCCCGGAUCGGCCGCGGCGACUGUGGGGCUUGGGCACGGUAGAGGCAGAUGGAAUUCCGGGUGUAGCGGUGGAAUGCGUAGAGAUCCGGAAGAACACCAGUGGCGAAGGCGGUCUGCUGGGCCGUGGACUCGCGAGAGUCUCUUAGCCGACACUGAGGCGCGACAGCGUGGGGAGCAAACAGGAUUAGAUACCCUGGUAGUCCACGCCGUAAACGAUGGGCACUAGGUGCUCUGGGGAGCGACCCCCGGGGUACCGGCGCUAACGCAUGAAGUGCCCCGCCUGG